AACCAUAGAAACCUGCGGAGUACCUGCGGAAGGAUCAUUACACAAUAAACAUAUGAAGGCUGCACCGCCAACAGGCGGCAAGGCUGGAGUAUUUUAUUACCCUUGUCUUUUGCGCACUUGUUGUUUCCUGGGCGGGUUCGCCCGCCUCCAGGACCACAUGAUAAACCUUUUUAUGCAGUUGCAAUCAGCGUCAGUACAACAAAUGUAAAUCAUUUACAACUUUCAACAACGGAUCUCAGA
This 240-nucleotide unclassified non-coding RNA is filed under the name soil metagenome. RNAcentral's name for it is "partial contains 5.8S ribosomal RNA, internal transcribed spacer 2, and large subunit ribosomal RNA". The record is from RNAcentral.